Molecule: small nuclear RNA, 102 nt
Organism: Peromyscus maniculatus bairdii (prairie deer mouse)
Lineage: Eukaryota; Metazoa; Chordata; Mammalia; Rodentia; Cricetidae
Source: Ensembl
GUGGUAUUCAAUAACAUAUAUUAAAAUUGGAACAAUAUAGUGAAGAUUGGGAUGGCCCUACACAAGGAUUACACACAAAUUUAUUAAUUGGUCCAUAUUAAA